RNAcentral lists this transfer RNA (77 nucleotides) under Actinomycetes bacterium. RNAcentral's name for it is "tRNA-Pro". It matches the Rfam family "tRNA". Rfam says of the family: Transfer RNA (tRNA) molecules are approximately 80 nucleotides in length. Their secondary structure includes four short double-helical elements and three loops (D, anti-codon, and T loops). Lineage: Bacteria; Bacillati; Actinomycetota; Actinomycetes. RNAcentral also lists the same sequence under 5 other names. The record is from RNAcentral.
CGGGGUGUGGCUCAGCUUGGUAGAGCGCUCGGUUCGGGACCGAGAGGUCGGCGGUUCAAAUCCGCCCACCCCGACCA